GGAACUGUGCCUGAAUUAAAGGACCACUUUGAUAGAGUGAACCAUGGGGGUUAAACUCCCCCCAGCUCCU
RNAcentral lists this transfer RNA (70 nucleotides) under Pao baileyi. RNAcentral's name for it is "tRNA-Ile". It matches the Rfam family "tRNA". From Rfam's summary of the family: Transfer RNA (tRNA) molecules are approximately 80 nucleotides in length. Their secondary structure includes four short double-helical elements and three loops (D, anti-codon, and T loops). Lineage: Eukaryota; Metazoa; Chordata; Actinopteri; Tetraodontiformes; Tetraodontidae. The record is from RNAcentral. RNAcentral also lists the same sequence under 2 other names.